UACUUAACAUGAUUGUGAUCAACAACCUUUACUACUUAUGAAUAUAAGUUCAUAAUGAUUAGGUGAAACUCCCUUAUAUCCUAGCAACAAACUUAUGCAUGAAAAUUAAGCGUGCACUCUCAACCAACAUACAUAAAUUAGUUUAAUUCAUAGAGAUAAGUAAAUUAAAUUCACAAUUCAUGAAACGCAAUUGGAAGUAAUCAAAUCAUAUAGCAAGCAUAAACAUGGUUUUGAAUCCCCCCUAGCCAAGGGGGGUUUAGUUCCUCAUACUUGCAAAGCAAAGAUACAUAAAAUUAGACAUUAAAAUUCAAAGAAAGACAACACCUAAAACACUCCAACUUGGCAGCAGGUGCAUCCAAAGUUCCUCUUUCUUCCUUGCUGCGGCAGAGAGGUUUUGGACAGGGUUUGGGUGGUUUUUAUGGUGUAGAAUGGAUGGGGAAUGGUAUGGAAAGGUUUAGGGUUGAUGGGUGGUGUGGCUAGGGGUGAUUUUUGGCUGAAUUUGGAGAGAAUGGUGGUGGAAAACUCACGGCAAAGACAAGGAUCCAAAUCUGUUUUUUUUAUGAAUAUGGGAGGUGGUAUUUAUAGGCUUGAGAGAGGACCACUCCAUUUCCUUUGCAUGUGCAGCUUGUGUGGGUGUGAGCUAUCAUGUUUCCCCUUUACAUUUACACACACAUGCUUCAUCAUUUCAACCACAAAACAUACGCAUUUUCUGCCAUGUUAUCAUUUACAUUUACACACACAUGCUUCAUCAUUUCAACAACCAAACACCCACAUUUUAUGCCCAUGCCGUGUGCUCCAUGUGUUUGCUGCCAUGUUCUUUUCUUUGCCAUGUGUUUGCUGCCAUGUUAUCAUCCUAGCUAUUACACUUGCACACACACAUGUUCUUUGCAUCAUUUCAGCCACAAAACAAGCACAAUUCCUUCCCCUUUGCCGUGCCUUUCUUCCACUUUGCAUGUGGGUGUCUUUGCAUGUGUUUUGUGGUAGAAAUGUUGUGUAAUGAUGAGGGGUUGUUGCUGCAUUUGUGUGAAGGAUGAUUCCAACUCCUCUUUGCAUGUGUGUGCUGCCAUGUUUCAUCCUAGUUGUUACAUCUGCACACACAUCAUUUCAGCCACAAAACAAACACAAUUCCUUCCCAUUGCCGUGAGUUUGAGUUGUCAUUGUUUACCCUUGCAUUUGCACACACACACUUGCACACACAUAUGCCCAAAACGUCCAUCCUCAUGCAUGCAAUCCAUUUCUGCCCAAUUUUGAUCCAAAAUGCACUUUUCUUGCCAACGUUGUUAUUAAGACCUACAAACAUACGAAAAUGACUUUAAACGCUAAAAUAACUAAGGAAACACAACGUAAACACACGAGAACAAGCCAAUUAAGUCGCAUAAAUAUGCUCCUAUCAAAUUCCCCCACACUUAGCUUUUGCUAGU
Molecule: long non-coding RNA, 1421 nt
Filed under: Malus domestica (apple)
Lineage: Eukaryota; Viridiplantae; Streptophyta; Magnoliopsida; Rosales; Rosaceae
Description: long non-coding RNA (MDOM_LNC019293)
Source: RNAcentral